UUUUAGGCUAAUAAUAAUUUUGUUCAAAUACAUUCUCUACACUCUUAAGGCUGAUUUCAUUGAUCCCAAGUGAAUUUCUUUUCCUAGAGGAAGGUAAUUGCAUGUUUUGACAAAAGACUCAAUGGAAAAAUUCUACUUUAUUCUACACAGCUCUACCAGUCAGAAGUAAUUUGGGUAUUCUGUAUAUUACAAUUCUGCUUGUCAGAAUUCUGAAAUGGAAAUAUUUCAUAUGUGCUAAAUAUUUGCCAUUUCCCAGGGGCAGUGAGCUGUUUACGUACGUUCUGCUCUGUGCCCAGCAGUGCCGGGCUUCCUCCCCUGCUGGUGUCCAGGGCACAAGCCAGAGAAGCUCAGCUCCAUCUCUCUGUGGGCUCAGGCAGCCAGUCCUCCUGCUUAAUAAAUAACUGAAUUCAGUAGGGUAGAAUUAGGAAACCACCUUUUUCUUCACAUUAAACAGGUAAUGUAAAACUUUAAGGAAUGUUUCCACAACUAACUUAAAAUGGUAUUCUUUUGGACUUUUCUUUCUCAAUUCUUGAAAAAAGCUUCGGCGGGGCCUUUUGGGGAUAUUAUUGAAGAGUGCUGUUUUCAGGUAUUAGAAAGCCCAGUUCAGUCCAACUUUCCAUCCUGCAUACAACUUAAAGGUUUCCUGUAAGCUCUCCACCCUCAGCCCAGCUCAACCCUGUCCCUAAAGCUUGAGGUUCAGCGGUGGGAAGGAUGGGCAAUAUUUGUUCUUUUACUCUCUUCUUUCUUCGCCUGUUUCACCCUCCAAACUCCUAGACUGUGGCUCUUGGGAUAUAUCCAUUUGGAGAAUAAGAUACUAGCUCCCCCUUGUGCCAAGCACCUGCACACUGUGAGUGAGUCACUUGAAAGUCUUCCAGUUGGCUCUGGGGGGGUGAGACCAUCCCUGUCUCAUCUCUACCUAUAAAUUCACCUCUGUAGAACUUUCUUUCUAAUGAAUCUCUAUUUUUCUCUUUCACACGAUGCCGGGGACAUGAGCAAUGGAUGAUUUUGGCUUCCUCUGAAUAACUCCUGAGAGGGCAUGUGUAGUUCCUCUGUGGGAGGACAUUGUCGCCUGUGUCAACAGCUUUGAGGCUUUAGCUAAACUUGUGGGAGGUUAUAAACUCCAUGGAAGUUCCCUAAUAGUGUCCCAUAACUGACCAUUGUCUUGAUACACACUGGGUUCAUAGGAAAGAUACGGCAUGUGGAAGACACUGUGCAUGAGGUGAAUGAGGAGUUCUUCCAGCUCUCUUCUCCAGCCCUGGAGCUCCAGAAAGAGGAGGAUGAGCCAGACCCACUGCCCCCAGCCUGAAAAUACUGAGGACGGGCAUGGAAAAGGAGCACUAACAAUGGCUGUUGUAGAUGUAGCCUAAUUAAUAGUGCACACCUCUGGGACCAGGAGCUUUCUGCAAGAUGCAUCUUCCAUCCAGGCUGUUCCCUGUCCUAGCUGCAGACGCAUGAAAGGAUGGAGAAGAAAGGAGGAUGAAAGAUAGAAGUGAUCAUGCCAUUGUGUCUGCACUGAGACCCUGGACCUCUGGACUUUCACACCGAAGCCCAGUGCCUCACUUGUCCCAGCCUCGUCCCUGCAUGCUAAAAUUAGCGAAGCACCCUGGGUGGCGGAGGGGCAUGGCGUUUGCUCUAAGCUGAGGGGUCAGUUCCUCUGUGAACCCGCCCUCCGUCCACCUCAGACGGGCAGUCGUGAAGGUAGCUCGACAGCAGAGGGACUAGGUAGGUGCAGCAGCCUGUCCUCAGCUGCACUGAGGGGCCAGAAGAGCAUGACUUGGUGAGGACAAAGUAACAGGUGUCUCCCAGCAUCUCCCCUUGUGAGUGGCAGGAAGAUAAACUUCAUCCACUGGAGACAAGUGGCCCAGAUGGAGAGAAGCUGGGACCCUGGGCCCUGAAGAGCCACUAGGCCCUGGAGCUGGAGGUGAGAAGAGUCCACCUGGCUCAGAGGAUUGAAGACCUGGAGUGGGAGCUGUCCCUGCUCCAUGAGGCGGCCAACAGCAGUUUGAGCAUGGGAGGGAGCUGGCCCAGCUGACACAGCGGCCUAAGGGGCACUGAGUCACAUCAGAUGCUGCAUGGUGGCCACCUCCGGGAGGUGCCUUCUCACCGAGAACAUGAACGGGCUCCCCUGGUAGGAAGGAGUGGGCAUCUGGGGCCCGGAGUGUGUGCUGGUUUUACGACGUGCUCCUAAAGGGAAACACCUGGAUUUCUUUCAGAGCCUGGACCUCAGCUUGUGCUCAAUUCUGCCUUGAACUUUCUGGGGUGAGGGAAAAUAAACUGACAUGGGUUGACAAAA
Long non-coding RNA from Lemur catta (Ring-tailed lemur), 2293 nucleotides. RefSeq lists it as uncharacterized. The transcript has 7 exons. The record is from RefSeq and is a predicted model, not a curated record. NCBI's taxonomy places the organism in Eukaryota, Metazoa, Chordata, Mammalia, Primates, Lemuridae.